Molecule: ribosomal RNA, 1758 nt
Filed under: Triticum aestivum (bread wheat)
Lineage: Eukaryota; Viridiplantae; Streptophyta; Magnoliopsida; Poales; Poaceae
Description: partial small subunit ribosomal RNA
Source: RNAcentral
AUGAUCAAGGGAGACCAGAGGCAGCUUGGCGGCCAUGAAGAGCGAUUGAACAACGAGAUAAGAGAUGAUCAUCAGGCCUCGGAUGGCAACUUCUUCAAGUUCUUGCAAAACCAGUCAAGCUCAAAAAAAGAGGCUCAAGAAGACAAGAUAGCAUCCACAAGGGCAGAGAUGGGAGAAGUGAGAAAAGAGAACGAGAGGCUGAAGGCGAUGUUGCCACGGAUGGUGGACGACCAUCGAACCCUUCAGAAGCAGUUCGAUGUUCUCCACCAGCAAGGGCGAGGCAAGAACCUCGCCGUGGGCUCAGCGGAGCACACAUCACUAGUCGACGGUGUUAAGGAUCCAAGGUUCAUCUCUUUGCGCCUCGGAACGAGCACCGGCACGAGCAAGCACAACUACAUGGGAGAAGAGAUCAAGGGCAACACUAAUAAUCCAGACGACAUAGCUGUUGGUGCAAGAACUGAUGGAGGUGAGAUAAAGGUGCGGCCGGAUGUGGUGACAUUGAGCCCUGGAGGCAGCUCCGAGGAGGAGGCCGCAGAGACGACGACAACGUCAGUGGCAAGCAAGACCGAGAAGAACCCGAGGAGCACGGAUUCCGAGGAUGACGUGGCUCAGCAGCCGCUGGCUAAGAAGGCCAGGGUCUCGGUGAGGGCAAGGUGUGACACACCAACGAUGAAUGAUGGGUGCCAGUGGAGGAAGUACGGGCAGAAGAUAUCCAAGGGGAACCCGUGCCCACGCGCCUACUACCGCUGCACCAUCGCAACGGGAUGCCCCGUCAGGAAGCAGGUUCAGAGAUGUGCGGAGGACAUGUCGAUCCUGAUCACCACCUACGAGGGCUCGCACAACCACCCGCUCUCCGCCUCUGCAACCGCCAUGGCAUCCACCACCUCUGCCGCCGCGUCCAUGCUUAUGUCAGGCUCCUCCACCUCGCUGGGCUUCCCCUCUGCCGCCUCCAACCUCCACGGCCUCAGGUUCGGCCUCCCAGCGGCGACCACCGUCGAUCCCUUGAGCCAGCUGAGCGCCCGGCCGUUCUUCCUCCCGGCAGCUGCCGGCACGUCCAUCAGCGUCACCCCGUCGUACCCCACCAUCACCCUCGACCUCACGUCGCAGGCCGCCUCGCAGCAGGCCUUCUCCCUCAGCAACACCAACAGGUUCUCCUCCAGCUUCACGGGCUCUUACGGCCAUAGCAGCAGCACUGGUACUAGGUACCCUUCCACGAGCUUCUCCUUCUCCGGCUCCGGCGCGAGCAGCCUGCCCGGCGCCACCGCGUGGCCGGCCGGAGUUGGACCGUACCUGAGCUACGGAUCCUCGCCCAGCGCACCCUACAACGACGCCGGCAAGAGCUCGUUCGAGGCCGCGCUGAGCAGCAUCAAUGGAAGGCAACAAGGCUCAGCGGCAUUCCUCUACCAGCCGGUGCAGCAGAGGGCGGCUCACGUGAGCGGCGGCAGCACGGCACCGACCGUGCUCACCGACACGAUCGCCAAGGCGAUCACGUCGGACCCGGGCUUCCACACGGCGCUCGCGGCCGCCAUCACGUCGUACGUCGGCAAGCCGGCUGCAGGAUGUGGCAAGGGGCUCGAGUGGGGUGAGCACCUCGGGCUGGGGCCGUCCAGUGCGGCAGCCGCGGUGUGCUCGUCGGCAGUGCUAGCACGAUCGUCAUCAACGGGGGCCGCACAGAACGGUUCCCCGAACGACAGGAUGACGUUGCAGGCGUCGCUGGCGCUGUCGGGCUCCACCAGUGCUACUGCUUCGACGUUGUGA